UUUUGUGUUAAUCUAAUAGUGUAAUUGAAUGAUAUCUAGGUUUUAGUAUAAGGAGGUAUUAAAAGUUGGCAGUUUGAGAUUGAGUAGGGUUUCUAAGUUAUAUGAAGAUCUACUAGUCAGAUCAAGAUAAAAUUUGGCAUGGUAUUAGAAGACUUUAAUAUCAAGCUAUGUACUAAUUUUGAAUUAAAAUUAAGAAUUAGAAAUAGAAAAAUUACUACUAAAAAAUUUGUAUCAACUUUUAAGUUGGAAACUAAUGUGGUUUUGGAUUUUUUUUUCAUAAUUUGUAAGUUAUAUUGGAUUGAAUAAUUUUUAAAUA
This 316-nucleotide long non-coding RNA is filed under the name Physcomitrium patens. Its description in RNAcentral is "long non-coding RNA (PPAT_LNC013642)". The record is from RNAcentral. Lineage: Eukaryota; Viridiplantae; Streptophyta; Bryopsida; Funariales; Funariaceae.